UGCGGGGUGGGGCAGCGGUCAGCCCGCUUGGCUCAUAACCAAGAGGUCGGCGGUUCGAAUCCGCCCCCCGCAUCCA
RNAcentral lists this transfer RNA (76 nucleotides) under Methylosinus sp. Sm6. RNAcentral describes it as "tRNA-Met". It matches the Rfam family "tRNA". Rfam says of the family: Transfer RNA (tRNA) molecules are approximately 80 nucleotides in length. Their secondary structure includes four short double-helical elements and three loops (D, anti-codon, and T loops). Lineage: Bacteria; Pseudomonadati; Pseudomonadota; Alphaproteobacteria; Hyphomicrobiales; Methylocystaceae. The record is from RNAcentral.